CCGAGUUUCAAUCAUUUAUCUUCUGCUAAGCUGGACAGCAUGUGUUUAUCCCUGGCCCUGUGACUCACCAACCCCAUUACCUAGGACAAGUUGCUGUCCGUAAGUGUUGUUUUCUAGGUAUAUUACUCAACAUCUAUUUCUAUCUGAAGACGAUGACAGUCCCUGUCUCAACACGUCUUGCUUGGACAGUUAAGUCCCCUACAUACAAACCUUCAAGUUGCAAACAUCCACAUCCAUCAAUGUCAGGCGUGAGUGAAACUGCAUCUCGCCCUCUGUCUCCUAACUGCUGAUGACCCUUCAGCCCUGCCAUCUCCCACCUCCUCUCCCUCCUCCAGUCUGUAACUCUUCUUGCCUGUUCGCUCGAUGCCAGCCCCUGUGUGCCAGCUACUGUACUCUACUACUGUACUUCAAGGUACUGUACUGGCAGAUUAGAAAACGUUUUCCUUGUUUGUUUUUUAUGUAUUUAUUUGUGUGAAAAGUAUUAUAAACCUAUCACAGGACAGUAUUGUAUAGCUGAACGUGUUAGUUGGGUACCUAGGUUA
Cervus elaphus (red deer) is the source of this 542-nucleotide long non-coding RNA. RefSeq lists it as uncharacterized. The transcript is spliced from 3 exons. The record is from RefSeq and is a predicted model, not a curated record. Lineage: Eukaryota; Metazoa; Chordata; Mammalia; Artiodactyla; Cervidae.